UCAUUGAUUUCUCCCUUCUGAUGAAUCAUGAUGUCAUUAAUUUGAUGUUGUGGGGAGUCAGGACUGUUACUUUGAAAAAAUUAGAGUGUUUAAAGCAAGCACGCGCUUGAAUACAUCAGCAUGGAAUAAUGAAAUAGGACGUUCGGUUCUAUUUUGUUGGUUUCUAGGAUCAACGUAAUGAUUAAUAGGGAUAGUUGGGGGCAUUAGUAUUCAAUUGUCAGAGGUGAAAUUCUUGGAUUUAUUGAAGACUAACUACUGCGAAAGCAUUUGCCAAGGAUGUUUUCAUUAAUCAAGAACGAAAGUUAGGGGAUCGAAGACGAUCAGAUACCGUCGUAGUCUUAACCAUAAACUAUGCCGACUAGGGAUCGGAUGAUGUUAAUUUUUUAAUGACUCAUUCGGCGCCUUACG
RNAcentral lists this ribosomal RNA (408 nucleotides) under uncultured Glomeromycotina. Its description in RNAcentral is "SSU rRNA". It matches the Rfam family "Eukaryotic small subunit ribosomal RNA", at positions 686 to 1092 of the family's 1831-position model. The record is from RNAcentral. Lineage: Eukaryota; Fungi; Glomeromycota.